Molecule: ribosomal RNA, 253 nt
Filed under: uncultured bacterium
Lineage: Bacteria
Description: partial 16S ribosomal RNA
Rfam family: Bacterial small subunit ribosomal RNA
Source: RNAcentral
UACGGGGGGGGCAAGCGUUGUUCGGAAUUACUGGGCGUAAAGGGCUCGUAGGCGGCCAACUAAGUCAGACGUGAAAUCCCUCGGCUUAACCGGGGAACUGCGUCUGAUACUGGAUGGCUUGAGGUUGGGAGAGGGAUGCGGAAUUCCAGGUGUAGCGGUGAAAUGCGUAGAUAUCUGGAGGAACACCGGUGGCGAAGGCGGCAUCCUGGACUGGUCCUGACGCUCAGGAGCGAAAGCGUGGGGAGCGAUCCGG